RNAcentral lists this long non-coding RNA (226 nucleotides) under Musa acuminata (dwarf banana). RNAcentral describes it as "long non-coding RNA (MACU_LNC010380)". Lineage: Eukaryota; Viridiplantae; Streptophyta; Magnoliopsida; Zingiberales; Musaceae. The record is from RNAcentral.
UGCAAGUCUUGCUUCUUGAGAUAGGCAAGAUAGUGAUGUUCAAGAAGACAACUUUAGCUUCUUGAAAUGAGCAAGUUAGCAAUCUUUGCUACUUAAGAUAGGCAAGCUAGCAAUCAAGUUUUUGCAUCUUCUUGACUUGUGCAAGCAAGCUAUCUCCCCCUUUGUCAUUGUCAAAAAGAAGGGAAAACCCUUUACAUCAAUUAUGACAAAGGUAAGUAUCAAUGUU